This 297-nucleotide signal recognition particle RNA is filed under the name Oncorhynchus mykiss (rainbow trout). Its description in RNAcentral is "Metazoan signal recognition particle RNA (ENSOMYG00000055795.1)". It matches the Rfam family "Metazoan signal recognition particle RNA". Rfam says of the family: The signal recognition particle (SRP) is a universally conserved ribonucleoprotein. It is involved in the co-translational targeting of proteins to membranes. The record is from RNAcentral. Lineage: Eukaryota; Metazoa; Chordata; Actinopteri; Salmoniformes; Salmonidae.
GCCGGGUGCGGUGGCAUGUGCCUGUAAUCCAAGUCACUGGGAGGCUGAGGUUGGUGGAUCAAGUGAGCUGAGGAGCUCUGGGCUGCAGCACGCUAUGUCGAACGGGUGUCCACGCUAAGUUCGGUAUCGAUAUGGUGUUCCUGGGGAGCCCGGGACCACCAGGUUGUCUAAGGAGGGGUGAACCGGCCAGGUCGGAAACGAAGCAGGUCAAAUCCCCCGUGCUGUCCAGUAGUGGGAUAAUACCUGUGAGUAGAUGCUGCAGUGCAGCCUUGGCAAAACAUCGAGACCUAAUCUUUU